RNAcentral lists this RNase P RNA (413 nucleotides) under Streptomyces tubbatahanensis. RNAcentral's name for it is "RNase P RNA component class A". It matches the Rfam family "Bacterial RNase P class A". Rfam says of the family: Ribonuclease P (RNase P) is a ubiquitous endoribonuclease, found in archaea, bacteria and eukarya as well as chloroplasts and mitochondria. Its best characterised activity is the generation of mature 5'-ends of tRNAs by cleaving the 5'-leader elements of precursor-tRNAs. Lineage: Bacteria; Bacillati; Actinomycetota; Actinomycetes; Kitasatosporales; Streptomycetaceae. The record is from RNAcentral.
CGAGCCGGCCGGACGGUCGCGUCGAGGAAGCGAACCGCUUUCUCGCCGAGGAACGUCCGGGCUCCACAGGGCAGGAUGGUGGGUAACGCCCACCCGGGGUGACCCGCGGGACAGUGCCACAGAAAGCAGACCGCCGGUGCCGUAUCCGUACGGCUGCCGGUAAGGGUGAAACGGUGGUGUAAGAGACCACCAGCGCCCAGGGCGACCUGGGCGGCUCGGUAAACCCCAUCCGGAGCAAGGUCAAGAGGGGCCGCACUCGCGGCUCUGCGCGGACGACCGAGGGCUGCCCGCCCGAGUCCGCGGGUAGACCGCACGAGGCCGGUGGCAACACCGGCCCUAGAUGGAUGACCGUCGCCUCCGGGCGCCGCAAGGCCCCGAAGGAACAGAACCCGGCGUACAGGCCGACUCGUCCG